Molecule: ribosomal RNA, 220 nt
Filed under: Shigella sonnei
Lineage: Bacteria; Pseudomonadati; Pseudomonadota; Gammaproteobacteria; Enterobacterales; Enterobacteriaceae
Description: partial 16S ribosomal RNA
Rfam family: Bacterial small subunit ribosomal RNA
Source: RNAcentral
AAAUUGAAGAGUUUGAUCAUGGCUCAGAUUGAACGCUGGCGGCAGGCCUAACACAUGCAAGUCGAACGGUAACAGGAAACAGCUUGCUGUUUCGCUGACGAGUGGCGGACGGGUGAGUAAUGUCUGGGAAACUGCCUGAUGGAGGGGGAUAACUACUGGAAACGGUAGCUAAUACCGCAUAAUGUCGCAAGACUAAAGAGGGGGACCUUCGGGCCUCUUG